Molecule: ribosomal RNA, 458 nt
Filed under: Streptococcus mitis
Lineage: Bacteria; Bacillati; Bacillota; Bacilli; Lactobacillales; Streptococcaceae
Description: bacterial SSU rRNA
Rfam family: Bacterial small subunit ribosomal RNA
Source: RNAcentral
GACGAACGCUGGCGGCGUGCCUAAUACAUGCAAGUAGAACGCUGAAGAGAGGAGCCUGCUCUUCUUGGAUGAGUUGCGAACGGGUGAGUAACGCGUAGGUAACCGGCCUGGUAGCGGGGGAUAACUAUUGGAAACGAUAGCUAAUACCGCAUAAUAGCAGUUAUUGCAUGAUAACUGUUUGAAAGGUGCAAAUGCAUCACUACCAGAUGGACCUGCGUUGUAUUAGCUAGUUGGUGAGGUAACGGCUCACCAAGGCGACGAUACAUAGCCGACCUGAGAGGGUGAUCGGCCACACUGGGACUGAGACACGGCCCAGACUCCUACGGGAGGCAGCAGUAGGGAAUCUUCGGCAAGGACGGAAGUCUGACCCGAGCAACGCCGCGUGAGUGAAGAAGGUUUUCGGUAUCGUAAAGCUCUGUUGUAAGAGAAGAACGAGUGUGAGAGUGGAAAGUUCACAC